RNAcentral lists this ribosomal RNA (464 nucleotides) under Vreelandella stevensii. RNAcentral describes it as "partial 16S ribosomal RNA". It matches the Rfam family "Bacterial small subunit ribosomal RNA", at positions 338 to 795 of the family's 1533-position model. Lineage: Bacteria; Pseudomonadati; Pseudomonadota; Gammaproteobacteria; Oceanospirillales; Halomonadaceae. The record is from RNAcentral.
CCUACGGUGGCUGCAGUGGGGAAUAUUGGACAAUGGGCGAAAGCCUGAUCCAGCCAUGCCGCGUGUGUGAUGAAGGCCUUCGGGUUGUAAAGCACUUUCAGUGGGGAAGAAAGCCUUGGGGCUAAUACCCUCGAGGAAGGACAUCACCCACAGAAGAAGCACCGGCUAACUCCGUGCCAGCAGCCGCGGUAAUACGGAGGGUGCGAGCGUUAAUCGGAAUUACUGGGCGUAAAGCGCGCGUAGGCGGUCUGAUAAGCCGGUUGUGAAAGCCCCGGGCUCAACCUGGGAACGGCAUCCGGAACUGUCAGGCUAGAGUGCAGGAGAGGAAGGUAGAAUUCCCGGUGUAGCGGUGAAAUGCGUAGAGAUCGGGAGGAAUACCAGUGGCGAAGGCGGCCUUCUGGACUGACACUGACGCUGAGGUGCGAAAGCGUGGGUAGCAAACAGGAUUAGAUACCCCGGUAGUC